Molecule: ribosomal RNA, 24 nt
Filed under: uncultured Lachnospiraceae bacterium
Lineage: Bacteria; Bacillati; Bacillota; Clostridia; Lachnospirales; Lachnospiraceae
Description: partial 23S ribosomal RNA
Source: RNAcentral
GAAAAAGCGAAAGUAAGAGCGAAC